GAUGAACGCUGGCGGCGUGCCUAAUACAUGCAAGUCGAGCGAACAGAUGAGGAGCUUGCUCCUCUGACGUUAGCGGCGGACGGGUGAGUAACACGUGGAUAACCUACCUAUAAGACUGGGAUAACUUCGGGAAACCGGAGCUAAUACCGGAUAAUAUAUUGAACCGCAUGGUUCAAUAGUGAAAGACGGUUUUGCUGUCACUUAUAGAUGGAUCCGCGCCGCAUUAGCUAGUUGGUAAGGUAACGGCUUACCAAGGCGACGAUGCGUAGCCGACCUGAGAGGGUGAUCGGCCACACGGUAACUGAGACACGGUCCAGACUCCUACGGGAGGCAGCAGUAGGGAAUCUUCCGCAAUGGGCGAAAGCCUGACGGAGCAACGCCGCGUGAGUGAUGAAGGUCUUCGGAUCGUAAAACUCUGUUAUUAGGGAAGAACAAAUGUGUAAGUAACUAUGCACGUCUUGACGGUACCUAAUCAGAAAGCCACGGCUAACUACGUG
RNAcentral lists this ribosomal RNA (497 nucleotides) under uncultured bacterium. RNAcentral's name for it is "partial 16S ribosomal RNA". It matches the Rfam family "Bacterial small subunit ribosomal RNA", at positions 28 to 507 of the family's 1533-position model. The record is from RNAcentral.